GGCAUAAGUAACGAUAAGGCGGGUGAGAAACCCGCCCACCGAUAGACUAAGGUUUCCUGAUCAACGCUAAUCGGAUCAGGGUUAGUCGGGACCUAAGGCGAACCCGAAAGGGGUAGUCGAUGGACAACGGGUUAAUAUUCCCGUACUACCGCAUAGAGCGAUGGGGUGACGGAGUAGUGAAAGUCUCGCGUACUGACGGAAUAGUACGUUGAAGGGUGUAGUUAUAGGCUGUGUAGGCAAAUCCGCACGGCUUGAUGAACC
Molecule: ribosomal RNA, 261 nt
Filed under: Favella ehrenbergii
Lineage: Eukaryota; Ciliophora; Spirotrichea; Tintinnida; Xystonellidae
Description: partial Bacterial large subunit ribosomal RNA
Rfam family: Bacterial large subunit ribosomal RNA
Source: RNAcentral